UUCUCGGCCUCAUUCUCUCAUGGUGUGUGAUGGAAGAGGUUGCUGCAUCCAGCAUUCCGUCUGGGCCGUGCCUGCUACUGCAUGCAGAAAGAAUGGGCUGCUGUAAAUUAAGUGGCAGAUGGACGUUUGUACACUGUAUUUGUGUCCAGACUUGACCAUUUCCCUUAGGAUGUUACCAGAAAUGGACGAGGGCUCCUACUGUAUGCCAAGUCCAUGAUGUCAGCCAGUGAAGUUGGCAUAAUGUGAUAAAGCUGCUAAGGAACCUAUGAUAAGCCUCUAGAUGGUGACCAUGCUUUUUGAAUGCCUCAUGCCAGGGUGGCUGUGACUACAUGAUGAAUUGGAGUCUACUCAUUGACAGGUGAACAUUUGCUUGCAUCCUUAAGGACCCUUUUGAAGCAUGCUUCUGUCUCACCAGAAUGACUUGGAGUCCACUGGAUAAGUUGACAGACUGGCAGUGUUCAGCUGUUGGCCCUCAACCCAAGCUUCAGUGUGAUUGCAUGAACAUCAAGACCUGGAGGACAUGAUGGCCAAUACAUGCAGACUCUUGAAGGGAGAAACAAAACAUUAAUAACUGUUAAUGUGUGUAAAUAAACUUUUGAAAUGAAA
Molecule: long non-coding RNA, 606 nt
Organism: Hemibagrus wyckioides
Lineage: Eukaryota; Metazoa; Chordata; Actinopteri; Siluriformes; Bagridae
Exons: 12
Source: RefSeq, a predicted model, not a curated record